CUUCUUCUGUUUCUUGCUGUCACCCAGGUUCUCUCACUAUAUCCAUCCUUUAACACACUGAUCUCACUUCACUUCCUUCUCUCCCUGUGCUCGUUUCUUCCCUCUCCAUCAUUCCCCCGAGUCUGACCAGGAUCCCCAACUCCCAUGACGUAUGGCCGUCUAUCUGGCUAAACCCUACUCCAGAGCAAUCCUUUCCUGGGUCUGUCGAGCAUUAUCAGAGUAAAUUCACACAACACAGCCACGCUUUCCAGCU
RNAcentral lists this long non-coding RNA (253 nucleotides) under Homo sapiens (human). Its description in RNAcentral is "non-protein coding lnc-ATG2B-5:2". The record is from RNAcentral. Lineage: Eukaryota; Metazoa; Chordata; Mammalia; Primates; Hominidae.